Pongo pygmaeus (Bornean orangutan) is the source of this 1035-nucleotide long non-coding RNA. RefSeq lists it as uncharacterized. The record is from RefSeq and is a predicted model, not a curated record. The transcript has 3 exons. Lineage: Eukaryota; Metazoa; Chordata; Mammalia; Primates; Hominidae.
GAUUCUCAGUUAUGUUUCCCACUCCAGGAGAAUGUGACUUCCUGUUUGAAAUGGAGGAGGGCUUUGUCCCAACACAUGAUGAUCUUCACAGGCUGACAUUCUGGUCUCUUCAUUACACAGGAAUGACGCCUGAAGCUGAAGUGAUUAACACAAUGUUACACGACUGAAAGCUGAGGCAAGGGGCCAAUGUGGAGCCAUGGGAGGCUGUCAUCACUCAAUAUUAAUUGAUCCUACUUUUCAUCCAUAAAGCAGGGACUGAAACAAAUUUUUGGUCACAAAAAUGGCAACUAUUACACUAUUAAGUUUCUAGAUUGGCAAGAAACAGUGGUAAGAAAAGAAACAGUUGGAUCACCAGUCUGUGGGAUAUGGAAGGCAAUCCAGAAAAACCUCAACGUCCUUCUCCCCAUUCCUUGCACACCUUUACGCAUCAUUUCAGCCUGGGCUAUUAGAAACAGCAUCAGUAACUUUUCUUUCACACACUUCAUCUUGACCAUUUCUCACCAAGCAAGCCAUGAUGGACUGAAGACCUGUGAGCCCAUGCCCAGGGCAUCUUUGAUGCAUCUAUUAAGGCCUUAAAAGCUCAGCCUGUUGGCAUCAGCAGCCCUGAUGAGUCCACUCACCCCCAGGAAGCUCGUUUGAUUGAGGUACCUUUUCCAAGCUGCAGUUUGGUUGGUGGGCCCAAAGAUUAGAUUUCGUUUAGGAUUUCCAGGGCCCCCUGCACCUACCAAACAGCAGACAAGUCUCUAGCCAUGCAAGGUGCAGCAGGCCAAAGGCAAAUAAUGGUAAAUCAUGGCAGAUGCUUCUCCAAGAUAACACAGAGACUCUAUUAGGGCUAUACCCAAGCUGGCCUGGUUUCCAGAUAUAGGAGAACAGACACCAGACUAGGACAUUAAAAACUCCAGAAUUUGGUGGGAUGUUUCAGACACUGUUCCCUACAUUGAGAGACCUCACCAUCUUGUUCACCAUUGCAUGCUCAAUACAGAGCCUGAAAAAGAGUAGAUAAUCAAUAAAUAUUGAAUGGAUCAAUUUUGUUAA